Long non-coding RNA from Pseudophryne corroboree (corroboree frog), 823 nucleotides. RefSeq lists it as uncharacterized. The transcript has 3 exons. The record is from RefSeq and is a predicted model, not a curated record. Lineage: Eukaryota; Metazoa; Chordata; Amphibia; Anura; Myobatrachidae.
CAUUUAACUCCGCGCUUACUGCCACUAGGCAGCUGGUGGAGCGCACAAUUGGGGUCCUUAAAGGGCGGUUUCGUGUGCUCCACCGCACUGGUGGCGACAUCAUGUAUUCGCCGGAGAUGGCAAGUAAACUAGUGGUCCUGUGCGCUAUACUACACAACAUCGCGGUAAGGAGUAGCGUAGAGCUUCCUCAGACAGAGGAAUUGCCUGAUGAGGAGCCAGGGGUUGUCCGACACUUCGGUGGGGGGAGUGUUACACGGAGGGGGAGCCAAGUCAGGGCAAGCAUUGUUGCGGAAUAUUUCAGCUGAAUGAUCACACAAACUGUGGACGACCACAACGGCAAGCAACACAUGAGGCACCAUCUCAGCCCCCUUCCCCUUCUCACUCCCCCUCCACUUCCCAGUCCCCCUCCCCUUCUCACUCCCCCUCCCCUUCCCAAUCCCCCUCAGCUUCCCAGUCCCCCUCAGCUUCCCAGGCCCACUCCACUUUCCACUCCCCUUCUCACCCCACCUCUCCUUCUCUUUCUGUGACCCCUUCUCCUCCUUCCCAUACCCCUUCUCCUUCAACUUCCAAAUCACCUUCUCAGCCCCCCUCACCCUCUAUUGGCCUAACAUUCUCUCCGCCCCCCUCACCCUCUCAAUCAGACCCACCCUCUGAAAUAACAUCCCCAAUCCCUCCUCCUUCCCCCAUCCAGCCUCCUUCCCCCAUCCCUCCUCCUUCCCCAAUCCCUCCUCCUUCCCCCAUCCAGCCGCCUUCCCCCAUCCAGCUGGCAUCACCACCCAGCGAAUGGGCAGAAGAAGCCCCAGAUGUGCUAAGUGACAAUGUU